Salarias fasciatus (jewelled blenny) is the source of this 511-nucleotide long non-coding RNA. RefSeq lists it as uncharacterized. The transcript has 3 exons. Lineage: Eukaryota; Metazoa; Chordata; Actinopteri; Blenniiformes; Blenniidae. The record is from RefSeq and is a predicted model, not a curated record.
ACUGACUUCUCUACAUCAUGGGGAGCACCUGCAUGUAUGUAUUAUUUUCUACUGGAAGCUUAUAUUUUUGUAAUAUUAGAAUAAUGGGGUUGGAAUAAUUAUUUUCUGGGCAUUAUAGAUCAGGGGUAACACUGGGAGACAGUGAGGGUCUGACAGUGGAAAGAUCGCCUUCAAAUCAGGACCAACUCAUCAUUGACCUCACCACCCCACCAGCCUCCCCCACCCCUACGAGGUCUUCGCCCGCAUUCGGCUCUCUCUGGACUCCAGCUGCCCCUCCACCAUCACCGAGUACUGGGCCAUCUCAUGCAUUCAGCUCUCUUUGGACUCCACACACUGUUGGCGCUGAUCGAAUUGCGGUUGUUCCACCAUCAAGAUUGAACGAUCCUGAAAGAGAGGAAGAGGCUUCAGGAGUUGCAUCUGGGGUUGACCGCGAAGAGGAAGGAGGACAGCAAGCCUCUGCAGAAGACCGGAGCGAAGAUGUGCGCGGUGAGAGGAAUGAGGAAGAUGAUGA